GUAGGCCUAAAAGCUCUAACGGAUAACGGAUCUUGGAGGGAAAUCUGCUGAGAGAAGUUGUGAAGAUGUCGGGAAUCCAAACAGUGAGGAGCUUGGUCAAAUUCAGACUAACUGUACUUGCCGAAGAGAUUUUGGAGCCGUUUGAAAGAAUGCUAGCAGAGUAUGAGGAGGAAAAUUCUCGUUUGAAAGUGGAGAACCAGCGACAACAAAAACUACUGGACGCUGUUUUUAACCCCGAAGUCCAGUUACACAGAGCAGAUGUCCAGCAGCUGAUUGUGACAAAAGAAGAGUUUCUCCAUAGGCGGUAGAAGAGGAGCUCCAGUCGGAACCAGGAGGAGUCACCAGAACCAGCACACAUUAAAGAGGAACAGGAGGAACCAAAAAAAUUCAAAAGUGUGUUGCCAUGAGCAGUGGAAAUCCAGAAUAAGAUGUUUGUCAUUUCAUCUUUCCAGCUAAGAAGAAGCAUCUCAAUGAUUUAAAUUCUGCUUUUAUUCCUGUAUUUAAUUUUUGUUUCCACCUCUUCUGUUAAAUGUUCAGUGUUGAGUUCACUGAGGAUUGAUGUUGGAUCUUCGUCACUAUUAUAACAAAGACUUCUGCUCUGUCUGUAAUGUUUCUUGGGAUAAUAUUUGUUAUUAAAGGGAGCUGUGCAAAGAUA
Cheilinus undulatus (humphead wrasse) is the source of this 655-nucleotide long non-coding RNA. RefSeq lists it as uncharacterized. The transcript has 2 exons. Lineage: Eukaryota; Metazoa; Chordata; Actinopteri; Labriformes; Labridae. The record is from RefSeq and is a predicted model, not a curated record.